GACGAACGCUGGCGGCGUGCCUAACACAUGCAAGUCGAACGGAACUGUUUUGAAAGAUUUCUUCGGAAUGAAUUUGAUUUAGUUUAGUGGCGGACGGGUGAGUAACGCGUGAGUAACCUGCCUUCAAGAGGGGAAUAACAUUCUGAAAAGAAUGCUAAUACCGCAUGACAUAUCGGAACCACAUGGUUUUGAUAUCAAAGAUUUUAUCGCUUGAAGAUGGACUCGCGUCCGAUUAGUUAGUUGGUGAGGUAACGGCUCACCAAGACCGCGAUCGGUAGCCGGACUGAGAGGUUGAACGGCCAAAUUGGGACUGAGACACGGCCCAGACUCCUACGGGAGGCAGCAGUGGGGGAUAUUGCGCAAUGGGGGCAACCCUGACGCAGCAACGCCGCGUGAAGGAUGAAGGUUUUCGGAUUGUAAACUUCUUUUAUUAAGGACGAAAAAUGACGGUACUUAAUGAAUAAGCUCCGGCUAACUACGUG
Molecule: ribosomal RNA, 482 nt
Filed under: uncultured bacterium
Lineage: Bacteria
Description: partial 16S ribosomal RNA
Rfam family: Bacterial small subunit ribosomal RNA
Source: RNAcentral